AUUGAGCGCUGGCGGCAGGCUUAACACAUGCAAGUCGAGCGGAGCGAGGGUGCUUGCACCUUAGCUUAGCGGUGGACGGGUGAGUAAUGCUUAGGAAUCUGCCUAUUAGUGGGGGACGACAUUCCGAAAGGAAUGCUAAUACCGCAUACGCCCUACGGGGGAAAGCAGGGGAUCUUCAGACCUUGCGCUAAUAGAUGAGCCUAAGUCGGAUUAGCUAGUUGGUGGGGUAAAGGCCUACCAAGGCGACGAUCUGUAGCGGGUCUGAGAGGAUGAUCCGCCACACUGGGACUGAGACACGGCCCAGACUCCUACGGGAGGCAGCAGUGGGGAAUAUUGGACAAUGGGCGGAAGCCUGAUCCAGCCAUGCCGCGUGUGUGAAGAAGGCCUUUUGGUUGUAAAGCACUUUAAGCGAGGAGGAGGCUACUUAGAUUAAUACUCUGGGAUAGUGGACGUUACUCGCAGAAUAAGCACCGGCUAACUCUGUGCCAGCCGCCGCCGUAA
RNAcentral lists this ribosomal RNA (501 nucleotides) under uncultured bacterium. RNAcentral describes it as "partial 16S ribosomal RNA". It matches the Rfam family "Bacterial small subunit ribosomal RNA", at positions 30 to 523 of the family's 1533-position model. The record is from RNAcentral.